GUUGGCUUAGAAGCAGCCACUCAUUUAAAGAGUGCGUAAUAGCUCACUAGUCGAGUGACUCUGCGCCGAAGAUAAACGGGGCUGAAACUUACCACCGAAGCUUUGGAUACCCAUAGGGUAUGGUAGAGGAGCAUCGUAUACGGGCCGAAGCGGAAAUGUGAGUUUCCGUGGACUGUAUAGGAGAGAGAAUGUUGGCAUGAGUAGCGAGAGGCAGGUGAGAAUCCUGCCCGCCGAAAAUCUGAGGUUUCCUGAGGAAGGUUCGUCCGCUCAGGGUAAGUCGGGACCUAAGCCGAGAGCGAAAGCUGUAGGCGAUGGACAACAGGUUGAGAUUCCUGUACCACCGAAAGUCGUUUGAAUGAAGUGGGGACGCAGGAGGAUAGACAGAGCACGCCGUUGGUAGAGCGUGUCCAAGCACGGAGUGUAUCGGGUAGGCAAAUCCGCUCGGUGAAAAGCAUGACGUGUGACGGGGAGGGAAAAUAGUACCGAAGCUGUCGAUUUCACACUGCCAAGAAAAGCCGCUAAUGAGACUGUAGGUGCCCGUACCGCAAACCGACACAGGUAGAUGAGGAGAGAAUCCUAAGGCGAGCGAGAGAACUAUUGUUAAGGAACUCGGCAAAAUGACCCCGUAACUUAGGGAGAAGGGGUGCCUGCGAAAGCAGGCCGCAGUGAAAAGGCCCAGGCGACUGUUUACCAAAAACACAGGUCUCUGCGAAAGCGAAAGCUGAAGUAUAGGGGCUGACGCCUGCCCGGUGCUGGAAGGUUAAGGGGAAGUGUUAUCGAAAGAGAAGCACAGAACUUAAGCCCCAGUAAACGGCGGCCGUAACUAUAACGGUCCUAAGGUAGCGAAAUUCCUUGUCGGGUAAGUUCCGACCCGCACGAAAGGCGUAACGAUCUGGGCACUGUCUCGACAAUAGACUCGGUGAAAUUGUAGUACCGGUAAAGAUGCCGGUUACCCGCAGCAGGACGGAAAGACCCCGUGGAGCUUUACUGUAGCUUGAUAUUGGAUUUCGGCAUUGCAUGUACAGGAUAGGUGGGAGACGUUGAGCUAUGCACGCCAGUGUGUAGGGAGUCGCCGUUGGGAUACCACUCUUGUAAUGUUGAGGUUCUAACCUUGUACCGUGAUCCGGUAUGGGGACAGUGUCAGGUGGGCAGUUUGACUGGGGCGGUCGCCUCCUAAAGAGUAACGGAGGCGCCCAAAGGUUCCCUCAGUGCGGUUGGAAAUCGUGCGAAGAGUGCAAAGGCAGAAGGGAGCUUGACUGCGAGACCUACAAGUCGAGCAGGGACGAAAGUCGGGCUUAGUGAUCCGGUGGUACCGAGUGGAAGGGCCAUCGCUCAACGGAUAAAAGCUACCCCGGGGAUAACAGGCUAAUACCCCCCAAGAGUCCACAUCGACGGGGGUGUUUGGCACCUCGAUGUCGGCUCGUCUCAUCCCGGGGCUGAAGCAGGUCCCAAGGGUUGGGCUGUUCGCCCAUUAAAGAGGUACGCGAGCUGGGUUCAGAACGUCGUGAGACAGUUCGGUCCCUAUCCGCUGUGGGCGAGGGAUAUUUGAGUGGAGCUGCCCUUAGUACGAGAGGACCGGGGUGGACAUACCGCUGGUGCACCGGUUGCAGUGCCAACUGCAUAGCCGGGUAGCUAAGUAUGGAAGGGAUAAGCGCUGAAAGCAUCUAAGUGCGAAGCCCCCCACAAGACAAGAUAUCCUGACCGAAAGGUGAGAGAUCUCUGGAAGACGAACAGUUAGAUAGGUCGGAGGUGGAAGUGCAGUAAUGUAUGGAGCUGACCGAUACUAAUCGAUCGAAAACUUAACCAA
RNAcentral lists this ribosomal RNA (1807 nucleotides) under human gut metagenome. RNAcentral describes it as "bacterial LSU rRNA". It matches the Rfam family "Bacterial large subunit ribosomal RNA", at positions 1100 to 2925 of the family's 2925-position model. The record is from RNAcentral.